This 118-nucleotide non-coding RNA is filed under the name Chloropicon laureae. Lineage: Eukaryota; Viridiplantae; Chlorophyta; Chloropicophyceae; Chloropicales; Chloropicaceae. The record is from RNAcentral.
AAAUAGACACAACGAAAGCGAAAACAAUUGAAAAUAAUUUUUUAGGUAGAUUGAUUGUCGGAUCCUAUCCUUUUUGGGAGACUUCUUCUUCUUCCCUUCUUCUUUUGUCUUGUGGGUG